AGUAUUACACCGACGGAGCGGAUUACAUUGAUGUUGUAAAUAGAAGAAUUUUUAUUCUUUAAUACUU
RNAcentral lists this transfer RNA (67 nucleotides) under Lepidozona coreanica. RNAcentral's name for it is "tRNA-Ile". The record is from RNAcentral. Lineage: Eukaryota; Metazoa; Mollusca; Polyplacophora; Chitonida; Ischnochitonidae.